AAAAGAUUAGUUAAGAAAAUAACAUCAGUAUGUCAAACUGAAAUCAUUAAAUAAUAAUAUCUUUUU
RNAcentral lists this transfer RNA (66 nucleotides) under Homogryllacris anelytra. RNAcentral's name for it is "tRNA-Asp". Lineage: Eukaryota; Metazoa; Arthropoda; Insecta; Orthoptera; Gryllacrididae. The record is from RNAcentral.